GGGGGAAAGAAGAAAUGAGCUGCUUGGUUCAGUGAAGACAGUGAUGGACUGUGUCACUUCAGGCUUGCUGUAUCUUAUGCAGAAGUUCUCAGUUAAUCGUAGUGGACUGCCAGAUGUGAGCUGUAUGAAUACUUACCGAUAUUUGUGAAUGGAAAGCAACUUUGAUGACCACAGAGAAACUACAAGAAGAUGCUGAAAAAUGAAAAUGAAGCCUGACUGGGACUGAGAAAGUGAAAAACCUCACAGCAUAUAUGGCCUUGUUGGAGUACAAGUACUUUCAGAUUUGUAGUUUCAGAGCUUCCUUUGGUUACUGGUAGAUGUAUAUAUAGCACUGUGUGUAGAAUGCAUCUUACUAAACUUACUGAAAACUUCUUCACAUCUGUGAGAAGUUUAGAGGGAAAGGUAAUAGUUCCUAGUUGAAAAUAGACUCUGACAAAGUAGUCAAAAGUCCAGCACGUAUUUAAAUAAAAGACAGAUAAAGACUGGCACAGAUUAGCCAGGGUAUGAA
This is a long non-coding RNA of Cuculus canorus (common cuckoo), 508 nucleotides long. RefSeq lists it as uncharacterized. The record is from RefSeq and is a predicted model, not a curated record. The transcript has 3 exons. Lineage: Eukaryota; Metazoa; Chordata; Aves; Cuculiformes; Cuculidae.